GACGAACGCUGGCGGCGUGCUUAACACAUGCAAGUCGAACGGAAAGGCUCCAGCUUGCUGGAGUACUCGAGUGGCGAACGGGUGAGUAACACGUGGGUAAUCUGCCCUGCACUCUGGGAUAAGCCUUGGAAACUGGGUCUAAUACUGGAUAUGACCUUUCUCCUUAUGGGGUUUGGUGGAAAGUUUUUCGGUGUAGGAUGAGCCCGCGGCCUAUCAGCUUGUUGGUGGGGUGAUGGCCUACCAAGGCGACGACGGGUAGCCGGCCUGAGAGGGUGAUCGGCCACAUUGGGACUGAGAUACGGCACAGCCUCCUACGGGAGGCAGCAGUGGAGAAUAUUGCACAAUGGGCGGAAGCCUGAUGCAGCGACGCCGCGUGAGGGAUGACGGCCUUCGGGUUGUAAACCUCUUUCAGCAGGGACGAAGCGUAAGUGACGGUACCUGCAGAAGAAGCACCGGCUAACUAUGUG
RNAcentral lists this ribosomal RNA (467 nucleotides) under uncultured bacterium. Its description in RNAcentral is "partial 16S ribosomal RNA". It matches the Rfam family "Bacterial small subunit ribosomal RNA", at positions 28 to 507 of the family's 1533-position model. The record is from RNAcentral.